This 327-nucleotide ribosomal RNA is filed under the name uncultured bacterium. RNAcentral's name for it is "bacterial SSU rRNA". It matches the Rfam family "Bacterial small subunit ribosomal RNA", at positions 30 to 336 of the family's 1533-position model. The record is from RNAcentral.
AGCGAACGCUGGCGGCGUGCCUAACACAUGCAAGUCGAGCGAGAAAGGGGUGGCAACACCCUGAGUAAAGCGGCGAACGGGUGAGUAACGCGUGGGCAAUCUACCUUCCAGUCUGGGAUAACCUUCCGAAAGGAGGGCUAAUACCGGAUGAUGUCCUGUUGGGGCAUCCUGAGGGGAGCAAAGGGGGCGACCCGCAAGGGCGUCUCGCUGGAGGAGGAGCCUGCGUCCGAUUAGUCAGUUGGUGGGGUAACGGGCUCACCAAGGCGACGAUCGGUAGCCGGCCUGAGAGGGUGACCGGCCACACUGGGACUGAGACACGGCCCAGAC